GUGAGGAAUUUUCCGCAAUGGGCGAAAGCCUGACGGAGCAAUGCCGCGUGAAGGAUGAAGGCCUAUGGGUUGUAAACUUCUUUUCUCAGAAAAGAAUUAUGACGGUAUCUGAGGAAUAAGCAUCGGCUAACUCUGUGCCAGUAGCCGCGGUAAGACAGAGGAUGCAAGCGUUAUCCGGAAUGAUUGGGCGUAAAGCGUCUGUAGGUUGUUUAAAAAGUAUUCUGUCAAAGAUUAGGGCUUAACCCUAGAUAGGCAGAAUAAACUUUUAAGCUAGAGUUUGGUAGAGGCAGAGGGAAUUCCCGGUGGAGCGGUGAAAUGCGUAGAUAUCGGGAGGAACACCAAAGGCGAAGGCACUCUGCUGGGCCAAUACUAACACUGAGAGACGAAAGCGAGGGGAGCAAAUGGGAUUAGAAACCCCUGUAGUCC
RNAcentral lists this ribosomal RNA (426 nucleotides) under uncultured bacterium. RNAcentral's name for it is "partial 16S ribosomal RNA". It matches the Rfam family "Bacterial small subunit ribosomal RNA", at positions 354 to 796 of the family's 1533-position model. The record is from RNAcentral.